CAGCAGCCGCGGGAAUACGGAGGGGGCUAGCGUUGUUCGGAAUUACUGGGCGUAAAGCGCACGUAGGCGGCUUGGUAAGUUAGAGGUGAAAGCCCGGAGCUCAACUCCGGAAUUGCCUUUAAGACUGCCGAGCUAGUAGGUGAGAGAGGUAAGUGGAAUUCCGAGUGUAGAGGUGAAAUUCGUAGAUAUUCGGAAGAACACCAGUGGCGAAGGCGGCUUACUGGCUCAUUCUAGACGCUGAGGUGCGAAAGCGUGGGGAGCAAACAGGAUUAGAUACCCGCGUAGUCCCUGUCUCUUAUAC
Molecule: ribosomal RNA, 301 nt
Filed under: uncultured bacterium
Lineage: Bacteria
Description: partial 16S ribosomal RNA
Rfam family: Bacterial small subunit ribosomal RNA
Source: RNAcentral